This 1568-nucleotide ribosomal RNA is filed under the name metagenome. RNAcentral's name for it is "bacterial LSU rRNA". It matches the Rfam family "Bacterial large subunit ribosomal RNA", at positions 1390 to 2925 of the family's 2925-position model. The record is from RNAcentral.
CGGCGAAACAACGACCCUGCCGAACCAGGUAAUGCUAAGCACGCAAGGUGUUGUGACGUCUUCGGACUGAUCUUCACUGAGUCUGUAACCCAAACCUUUAGUAGGCAAGCUGCGGAGGGACGCAGGAAGGUAGCCGUACCGGGAGAUGGUUUUCCCGGGGUAAGUGCGUAGGGUGGAGUGUAGGCAAAUCCGCACUCCGUGUGCCUGAAACAUGACGCAUAGGCCGUAUGGCCGAAUUCGGUAAUCCUAUGCUGCCUAGAAAAGCUUCGUGAGCGAGUUGUUAGCCGCCCGUACCCCAAACCGACACAGGUGGAUAGGUAGAGAAUACCAAGGCGAUCGAGAGAAUCGUGGUGAAGGAACUCGGCAAAAUACCCCCGUAACUUCGGAAUAAGGGGGACUGGAGGGGUGCAUAGCCCCGAAGAUCGCAGAGACCACGCCCAAGCGACUGUUUACCAAAAACAUAGGUCCGUGCCAAGUCGCAAGACGAUGUAUACGGACUGACUCCUGCCCGGUGCUGGAAGGUUAAGGGGAAGUGUUAGCGCAAGCGAAGCACUGAACUUAAGCCCCAGUAAACGGCGGUGGUAACUAUAGCCAUCCUAAGGUAGCGAAAUUCCUUGUCGGGUAAGUUCCGACCUGCACGAAUGGAGUAACGAUUUGGGCACUGUCUCCACCACGAACUCGGCGAAAUUGCAUUACGAGUAAAGAUGCUCGUUACGCGCAGCAGGACGGAGAGACCCCGGGACCUUUACUAUAGUUUGGUAUUGGUGAUUGGGACGACUUGUGUAGGAUAGGUGGGAGACUUUGAAGCAUUCACGCCAGUGAGUGUGGAGUCAACGUUGAAAUACCACUCUGGUCGUUCUAGUUAUCUAACCUAGGUCCAUUAUCUGGAUCAGGGACAGUGCCUGAUGGGUAGUUUGACUGGGGCGGUCGCCUCCCAAAAGGUAACGGAGGCGCCCAAAGGUUCCCUCAGCCUGGUUGGCAAUCAGGUGUCGAGUGUAAAUGCACAAGGGAGCUUGACUGUGAGACUGACAGGUCGAGCAGGGACGAAAGUCGGGAUUAGUGAUCUUAUGGUGGCACGUGGAAGCGCCAUAACUCAACGGAUAAAAGGUACCCCGGGGAUAACAGGCUGAUCUUGCCCGAGCGCUCACAGCGACGGCAUGGUUUGGCACCUCGAUGUCGGCUCGUCGCAUCCUGGGGCUGGAGUCGGUCCCAAGGGUUGGGCUGUUCGCCCAUUAAAGCGGCACGCGAGCUGGGUUCAGAACGUCGUGAGACAGUUCGGUCCCUAUCCGCUGCGCGCGUAGGAAUCUUGAGAAGGGCUGUCCUUAGUACGAGAGGACCGGGACGGACUAACCUCUGGUGUGCCAGUUGUUCUGCCAAGAGCACGGCUGGUUGGCUACGUUGGGAAGUGAUAACCGCUGAAAGCAUCUAAGUGGGAAGCACGCUUCAAGAUGAGGGUUCCCUCAGAGUUAAUCUGGUAAGGCCCCCGGUAGACCACCGGGUUGAUAGGUCGGACGUGGAAGUGCGGCAACGCAUGGAGCUGACCGAUACUAAUAGGCCGAGGGCUUGUC